This 253-nucleotide ribosomal RNA is filed under the name uncultured bacterium. RNAcentral describes it as "partial 16S ribosomal RNA". It matches the Rfam family "Bacterial small subunit ribosomal RNA", at positions 524 to 776 of the family's 1533-position model. The record is from RNAcentral.
UACGUAGGAUGCAAGCGUUGUCCGGAAUUAUUGGGCGUAAAGAGCGCGCAGGCGGUCUGCCAAGUCAGAUGUGAAAGAGGCCGGCUUAACCGGCAAGGGUCAUUUGAAACUGACAGACUAGAGUGCAGCAGAGGAUAGCGGAAUUCCCGGUGUAGUGGUGAAAUGCGUAGAUAUCAGGAGGAAUACCGAUGGCGAAGGCAGGUCUCUGGGCUAUAACUGACGCUCAUGCACGAAAGCGUGGGGAGCAAACAGG